UGGUUGACCUCGGAUCAGGUAGGGC
RNAcentral lists this ribosomal RNA (25 nucleotides) under Sagenomella griseoviridis. RNAcentral's name for it is "partial 28S ribosomal RNA". The record is from RNAcentral. Lineage: Eukaryota; Fungi; Ascomycota; Eurotiomycetes; Eurotiales; Trichocomaceae.